This 513-nucleotide unclassified non-coding RNA is filed under the name uncultured Glomus. RNAcentral's name for it is "SSU rRNA". It matches the Rfam family "Eukaryotic small subunit ribosomal RNA", at positions 569 to 1087 of the family's 1831-position model. Lineage: Eukaryota; Fungi; Glomeromycota; Glomeromycetes; Glomerales; Glomeraceae. The record is from RNAcentral.
AGCAGCCGCGGUAAUUCCAGCUCCAAUAGCGUAUAUUAAAGUUGCUGCAGUUAAAAGCUCGUAGUUGAAUUUCGGGAUCAAUAUGUUGGUCGUGCCUCGGUACGUACUAGCUUAUUGGUUUCUCCCUUCUGACGAACCAUGAUGUCAUUUAUUUGGUGUUAUGAGGAAUCAGGACUGUUACUUUGAAAAAUUAGAGUGUUUAAAGCAGGCUCACGCUUGAAUACAUUAGCAUGGAAUAAUGAAAUAGGACGUUUGAUUCUAUUUUGUUGGUUUCUAGGAUCGACGUAAUGAUUAAUAGGGAUAGUUGGGGGCAUUAGUAUUCAAUUGUCAGAGGUGGAAUUCUUGGAUUUAUUGAAGACUAACUACUGCGAAAGCAUUUGCCAAGGAUGUUUUCAUUAAUCAAGAACGAAAGUUAGGGAUCGAAGACGAUCAGAUACCGUCGUAGUCUUAACCAUAAACUAUGCCGACUAGGGAUCGGAUGAUGUUAAUUUUUUAAUGUACUCAUUCGGUCCG